UGCCAGCAGCCGCGGUAACACGGGGGGCGCAAGCGUUAUUCGGAAUUAUUGGGCGUAAAGGGUGCGUAGGCGGACAGAUGUGUCAGGUGUGAAAGCCCAGAGCUCAACUCUGGAACUGCGCCUGAAACUAUUUGUCUAGAGUAUCGGAGAGGUAAGCGGAAUUCCUAGUGUAGCGGUGAAAUGCGUAGAUAUUAGGAGGAACACCAAAGGCGAAGGCAGCUUACUGGACGAUAACUGACGCUGAGGCACGCAAGCGUGGUGAGCGAAAAGGAUUAGAUA
RNAcentral lists this ribosomal RNA (279 nucleotides) under uncultured bacterium. RNAcentral's name for it is "partial 16S ribosomal RNA". It matches the Rfam family "Bacterial small subunit ribosomal RNA", at positions 506 to 784 of the family's 1533-position model. The record is from RNAcentral.